RNAcentral lists this ribosomal RNA (492 nucleotides) under uncultured bacterium. RNAcentral's name for it is "partial 16S ribosomal RNA". It matches the Rfam family "Bacterial small subunit ribosomal RNA", at positions 28 to 507 of the family's 1533-position model. The record is from RNAcentral.
GAUGAACGCUAGCUACAGGCUUAACACAUGCCAGUCGAGGGGAAACGACAUCGAAAGCUUGCUUUUGAUGGGCGUCGACCGGCGCACGGGUGAGUAACGCGUAUCCAACCUGCCCAUCACUUGGGGAUAACCUUGCGAAAGUAAGACUAAUACCCAAUGAUAUCUCUAGAAGACAUCUGAAAGAGAGUAAAGAUUUAUCGGUGAUGGAUGGGGAUGCGUCUGAUUAGCUUGUUGGCGGGGUAACGGCCCACCAAGGCAACGAUCAGUAGGGGUUCUGAGAGGAAGGUCCCCCACAUUGGAACUGCGACACGGACCAAACUCCUACGGGAGGCAGGAGUGAGGAAUAUUGGUCAAUGGGCGAGAGCCUGAACCAGCCAAGUAGCGUGAAGGAAGACGGCCCUAUGGGUUGUAAACUGCUUUUAUAAGGGAAUAAAGUGAGAGUCGUGACUCUUUUUGUAUGUACCUUAUGAAUAAGGACCGGCUAAUUCCGUG